RNAcentral lists this unclassified non-coding RNA (347 nucleotides) under soil metagenome. RNAcentral's name for it is "partial contains 5.8S ribosomal RNA, internal transcribed spacer 2, and large subunit ribosomal RNA". The stretch from base 1 to 120 matches the Rfam family "5.8S ribosomal RNA", at positions 35 to 154 of the family's 154-position model. The record is from RNAcentral.
GAUGAAGAACGUAGCGAAAUGCGAUACGUAAUGUGAAUUGCAGAAUUCAGUGAAUCAUCGAAUCUUUGAACGCACAUUGCGCCCGCUGGUAUUCCGGCGGGCAUGCCUGUUCGAGCGUCAUUUCAACCCUCAAGCCCCCGGGUUUGGUGUUGGGGAUCGGCUCUGCCCUUCUGGGCGGUGCCGCCCCCGAAAUACAUUGGCGGUCUCGCUGCAGCCUCCAUUGCGUAGUAGCUAACACCUCGCAACUGGAACGCGGCGCGGCCAUGCCGUAAAACCCCAACUUCUGAAUGUUGACCUCGGAUCAGGUAGGAAUACCCGCUGAACUUAAGCAUAUCAAUAGCGGAGGA